This 181-nucleotide non-coding RNA is filed under the name Bacillus solimangrovi. RNAcentral describes it as "Lysine sequence". It matches the Rfam family "Lysine riboswitch aptamer". From Rfam's summary of the family: Riboswitches are metabolite binding domains within certain messenger RNAs that serve as precision sensors for their corresponding targets. Allosteric rearrangement of mRNA structure is mediated by ligand binding, and this results in modulation of gene expression. The record is from Rfam by way of RNAcentral. Lineage: Bacteria; Bacillati; Bacillota; Bacilli; Caryophanales; Bacillaceae.
AGUGAGAAUAGAGGUGCAAAGACCAUCAGUACAAUAUUUGAGGAGUAUGAGCUCCAACGACGAUAUUGAAAAGGGGAAUUUGCCGAAGUAUGAUAACACUCAUAAUCUAUCAUACUGGUUUUGUAUUAAAUAAGUGCAAAACUGUCAUAUAGUUGAUACUAUAUGGAGGGCUAUCUCACGU